Molecule: ribosomal RNA, 492 nt
Filed under: uncultured Paracoccus sp.
Lineage: Bacteria; Pseudomonadati; Pseudomonadota; Alphaproteobacteria; Rhodobacterales; Paracoccaceae
Description: bacterial SSU rRNA
Rfam family: Bacterial small subunit ribosomal RNA
Source: RNAcentral
CUAGCGGCGGACGGGUGAGUAACGCGUGGGAACGUGCCCUUCUCUACGGAAUAGCCCCGGGAAACUGGGAGUAAUACCGUAUACGCCCUUUGGGGGAAAGAUUUAUCGGAGAAGGAUCGGCCCGCGUUGGAUUAGGUAGUUGGUGAGGUAACGGCUCACCAAGCCGACGAUCCAUAGCUGGUUUGAGAGGAUGAUCAGCCACACUGGGACUGAGACACGGCCCAGACUCCUACGGGAGGCAGCAGUGGGGAAUCUUAGACAAUGGGGGCAACCCUGAUCUAGCCAUGCCGCGUGAGUGAUGAAGGCCUUAGGGUUGUAAAGCUCUUUCAGCUGGGAAGAUAAUGACGGUACCAGCAGAAGAAGCCCCGGCUAACUCCGUGCCAGCAGCCGCGGUAAUACGGAGGGGGCUAGCGUUGUUCGGAAUUACUGGGCGUAAAGCGCACGUAGGCGGACUGGAAAGUCAGAGGUGAAAUCCCAGGGCUCAACCUUGGA